GAGUGCGUCCCAUAGUGUCCUACACAGUCACUAAAGUUUAGAGUGUGUCCCAUACAGGCACUAAAGUUUAGAGUGCGUCCCAUAGUGUCCCAUACAGGCACUAAAGUUUAGAGUGCGUCCCAUACAGGCACUAAAGUUUAGAGUGUGUCCCACACAGGCACUAAAGUUUAGAGUGUGUCCCACACAGGCACUAAAGUUUAGAGUGCGUCCCACACAGGCACUAAAGUUUAGAGUGCGUCCCAUAGUGUCCCACACAGGCACUAAAGUUUAGAGUGUGUCCCACACAGGCACUAGAGUUAAGUAUCUGUAUGGCAGGACUUUCACCCAGGAAACUGGGGAUCAUGUCCCGUUCUUGUCCCACGUGUCACUAAAACGUAAAUGUUUAAAUCCCACCCACAAUCGUACUCAUUCCCUAACUAAGUGGUUUCACUCUGCACAUAAAAAAAUGACAACAAAUCAGUCCCAAACAGAGCGUCAAAUAUCUCCGCGGAUAGGAUUACAUUGGAAUGAGUUGAAAUACCCCCGCCGGUCUGUCUGAGACGCUAAAGGAGAUUUUUUUUGCGUCAGUAACUAACACUUAAGAAACCUGACCAAGCCUCAGGUUGUGACGCGGUGGGAGUGAGACUGUGUUGCAAAAACCGUUACCUAAACACACUC
This is a long non-coding RNA of Sander lucioperca (pikeperch), 657 nucleotides long. RefSeq lists it as uncharacterized. The record is from RefSeq and is a predicted model, not a curated record. The transcript has 2 exons. Lineage: Eukaryota; Metazoa; Chordata; Actinopteri; Perciformes; Percidae.